Molecule: ribosomal RNA, 581 nt
Filed under: uncultured bacterium
Lineage: Bacteria
Description: bacterial SSU rRNA
Rfam family: Bacterial small subunit ribosomal RNA
Source: RNAcentral
GCCUAGGAAUCUGCCUGGUAGUGGGGGAUAACGUCCGGAAACGGACGCUAAUACCGCAUACGUCCUACGGGAGAAAGCAGGGGACCUUCGGGCCUUGCGCUAUCAGAUGAGCCUAGGUCGGAUUAGCUAGUUGGUGGGGUAAUGGCUCACCAAGGCGACGAUCCGUAACUGGUCUGAGAGGAUGAUCAGUCACACUGGAACUGAGACACGGUCCAGACUCCUACGGGAGGCAGCAGUGGGGAAUAUUGGACAAUGGGCGAAAGCCUGAUCCAGCCAUGCCGCGUGUGUGAAGAAGGUCUUCGGAUUGUAAAGCACUUUAAGUUGGGAGGAAGGGCAGUAAAUUAAUACUUUGCUGUUUUGACGUUACCGACAGAAUAAGCACCGGCUAACUCUGUGCCAGCAGCCGCGGUAAUACAGAGGGUGCAAGCGUUAAUCGGAAUUACUGGGCGUAAAGCGCGCGUAGGUGGUUCGUUAAGUUGGAUGUGAAAUCCCCGGGCUCAACCUGGGAACUGCAUUCAAAACUGACGAGCUAGAGUAUGGUAGAGGGUGGUGGAAUUUCCUGUGUAGCGGUGAAAUGCGUA